AUUGAACGCUGGCGGCAUGCCUUACACAUGCAAGUCGAACGGCAGCGCGGACUUCGGUCUGGCGGCGAGUGGCGAACGGGUGAGUAAUGCAUCGGAACGUGCCAUUGAGUGGGGGAUAACUAUCCGAAAGGAUAGCUAAUACCGCAUAUUCUGUGAGCAGGAAAGCAGGGGAUCGCAAGACCUUGCGCUCUUUGAGCGGCCGAUGUCAGAUUAGCUAGUUGGUGGGGUAACGGCCCACCAAGGCGACGAUCUGUAGCGGGUCUGAGAGGAUGAUCCGCCACACUGGGACUGAGACACGGCCCAGACCCCUACGGGAGGCAGCAGUGGGGAAUUUUGGACAAUGGGGGCAACCCUGAUCCAGCCAUGCCGCGUGAGUGAAGAAGGCCUUCGGGUUGUAAAGCUCUUUCGGCCGGGAAGAAAUCGCGUGGGCUAAUACCCUGCGUGGAUGACGGUACCGGACUAAGAAGCACCGGCUAACUACGUGCCAGCAGCCGCGGUAAUACGUAGGGUGCGAGCGUUAAUCGGAAUUACUGGGCGUAAAGCGUGCGCAGGCGGUUUUUUAAGACAGGCGUGAAAUCCCCGGGCUUAACCUGGGAACUGCGCUUGUGACUGGAAGGCUAGAGUACGGCAGAGGGGGGUGGAAUUCCACGUGUAGCAGUGAAAUGCGUAGAGAUGUGGAGGAACACCGAUGGCGAAGGCAGCCCCCUGGGCCGAUACUGACGCUCAUGCACGAAAGCGUGGGGAGCAAACAGGAUUAGAUACCCUGGUAGUCCACGCCCUAAACGAUGUCAACUAGGUGUUGGGUGGGUAAAACCAUUUAGUACCGGAGCUAACGCGUGAAGUUGACCGCCUGGGGAGUACGGCCGCAAGGUUAA
Molecule: ribosomal RNA, 875 nt
Filed under: uncultured Rhodocyclaceae bacterium
Lineage: Bacteria; Pseudomonadati; Pseudomonadota; Betaproteobacteria; Rhodocyclales; Rhodocyclaceae
Description: bacterial SSU rRNA
Rfam family: Bacterial small subunit ribosomal RNA
Source: RNAcentral